RNAcentral lists this long non-coding RNA (328 nucleotides) under Lathyrus oleraceus (garden pea). RNAcentral's name for it is "Pisum sativum (pea) long non-coding RNA (PSAT_LNC002992)". Lineage: Eukaryota; Viridiplantae; Streptophyta; Magnoliopsida; Fabales; Fabaceae. The record is from RNAcentral.
UCAAAUUUGCACCUCCCAUUUGUACAUUCAUUUCAUUUUUAGGUCAUUAACAUUGCAUUCACAUUGCAUAGUGCAUUGUAUUUCAUCAGUCAAGACUGAUCAGAAGAAGUCAUCUGUGCAAGAGAGCAAGGGAUUUUCAUGAUGGAAAAGGUCUGUGGGUGUUCUAGAGGGCUUACGUGAUCCAAGGUUCUUUCUGAUGCGUUUUGGCCAAGUGUUGAAGGCUCAAAGUCCACAGUGCAUGACCAAGUCAUCUGAGGCCCAUAAAAGUCAACUGUAAGUCAACUGAGGGCUAGGAGGUGGAGAGAUGGGUUGAGACGCUUCCUUCAUG